GUGCCAGCCGCCGCGGUAAAACGUAGGAGCCUAGCGUUAUCCGAAUUUACUGGGCGUAAAGCGCGUGCAGGCGGCUGAGUAAGUGGAUUGUGAAAUCUCCCGGCUCAACUGGGAGGGGACGGUCCAGACUGCUCGGCUGGAGGCAGGGAGAGGGAGGUGGAAUUCCCGGUGUAGUGGUGAAAUGCGUAGAGAUCGGGAGGAACACCUGUGGCGAAAGCGGCCUCCUGGCCCUGACCUGACGCUGAGAUGCGAAAGCUAGGGGAGCGAACGGGAUUAGAUACCCCCGUAGUCC
Molecule: ribosomal RNA, 292 nt
Filed under: uncultured bacterium
Lineage: Bacteria
Description: partial 16S ribosomal RNA
Rfam family: Bacterial small subunit ribosomal RNA
Source: RNAcentral